GGGGUUUUGGGGGGGCUGAGGGGGCCCUAUGGGGUUCUAUGGGAUUUUAUAGGGCUUUGGGGGGGUUCUAUGGGGCUCUAUGGGAUCCUAUGGGUUUUUAUGGGGCCAUAGGGGUUUUAUGAGGCUGUAUGGGAUCCUAUGGGGUUUCUAUGGGGCUCUAUGGGAUCCUAUGGGGUUUUAUGGGGCCAUAGGGGUUUCUAUGGGGCUCUAUGGGAUCCUAUGGGAUUUUUGGGGCUCUAUGGGAUCCUAUGGGAUUUUAUAGGGCUUGGGGGGGUUCUGUGGGGCUCUAUGGGAUCCUAUGGGGUUUUAUGCGGUUCUAUGGGAUCUUAUGGGAUUUUAUGCGCUCUAUGGGAUCCUAUGGGGUUUUAUGGGGCUCUAUGGGAUGCUAUGGGGUUUUUUGGGGCUCUGUGGGAUCCUAUGGGGUUUUAUGGGGCUCUAUGGGAUGCUAUUGGGUUUUUUGGGGCUCUGUGGGAUCCUAUGGGGUUUUAUGGGGCUCUAUGAGAUCCUAUUGGGUUUUUUGGGGCUCUGUGGGAUCCUAUGGGGUUUUAUGGGGCUCUGUAGGAUCCUAUGGGGUUUCUAUGGGGCUCUAUGGGAUCCUAUGGGGUUUUAUGGGCUCUAUAGGAUCCUAUGGAGUUUUAUGUGGCUCUAUGGGAUGCUAUGAGGUUUUUAUAGGGCCGGGGAGAUUCUAUGGGGUUCUCUGGGCUUUAUGGGGUUCUGUGGGGUUUUGGGGGGGCCGUAACCCUUCCCCUAAACCCCCCCCGCCCCACAGGUGCUGUUUUUGGGGCCGCUGAUGCAGCUGUGCAUGGACUGCCCAUGGCGAUGCAUGGAGGGGCUGCGGGGGCUGCUGGGUAAGGGGGGGUUUCUAUGGGGUUUCUGUGGGGCUGGGGGUCGGGGGGGCAGCGGGGGGGCGAUCUGUGGGUCAGGGGUCCGUGUGUGGGGCAGAGCGGUGGAUGUGUGGGUCAGUCAUCCAAUUGUGGGUCGGGCUGUGGGGCGGAAGGGUCAGUCUGUGGGUCAGUCUGUGGGUCCAUCCCCCCAAAUCUGUGGGUCAAUCUGUGGGUCCAUCCCCCCAUCUAUGGCUCAAUCUAUGGGUCAAUCUAUGGGUCCAUCCCCCCAUCUAGGGGUCCAUCUCUGGGUCCACCCCCCAACCUAUGGGUCCAUCUAUGGGUCAAUCUAUGGGUCCAUCUGUGGGUCCAUCCCCCCAACCUAUGGGUCCAUCAUGGGUCAAUCUAUGGGUCCAUCCCCCAUCUGUGGGUCGAUCUAUGGGUCCAUCUAUGGGUCCAUCCCCCCAUCUGUGGGUCCAUCUAUGGGUCCAUCCCCCAUCUAUGGGUCCAUCUGUGUGUCCAUCUGUGGGUCCAUCUAUGGGUCCAUCUAUGGGUCCAUCUAUGGGUCCAUCUGUGGGUCCAUCUGUGGGUCCAUCUAUGGGUCCCUGCCCCAACCUAUGGGUCCAUCUAUGGGUCCAUCUAUGGGUCCAUCUGUGGGUCCAUCUGUGGGUCCAUCUGGAGGUCCCUGCCCCAACCUAUGGGUCCAUCUAUGGGUCCAUCCCCCCAUCUAUGGGUCCAUCUGUGGGUCCAUCUAUGGGUCCAUCUAUGGGUCCAUCCCCCCAACCUAUGGGUCAAUCUAUGGGUCCAUCUGUGGGUCCAUGCCCCCAUCUAUGGGUUCAUCUAUGGGUCCAUCCCCCCAUCUAUGGGUCCAUCUAUGGGUCCAUCUGUGGGUCCAUCUGUGGGUCCCUCCCCCAUCCGUGGGUCGAUCCGUGGGUCCGUCCCGCACCCUGGGCCCCAGGCUCUGACUCCCCCCCAGCCCCGCGCCGGGCGCUGCCGUGGCUGCGCGACGUGCGCUGGCUGCGGAACCACGUGGUGGCGCCGCUGUCGGAGGAGCUCGUGUUCCGCGCCUGCAUGCUGCCCGUCCUGCUGCCCUGCGCCGGGCCGCGAUACGCCGUGCUGGCCUGCCCGCUCUUCUUCGGCCUGGGUGCUCAUGGGAAACGGCCUAUUAUGGGAUGGGCGGGGGGAAUUAUGGGAUGGGUUGGGGGUUAUUAUGGGAUGGAUUUUGGGGUUAUGUGGGGUCAUGUGGGGUUAUUAUGGGAUGGCUGGGGGG
RNAcentral lists this long non-coding RNA (2091 nucleotides) under Phasianus colchicus (ring-necked pheasant). RNAcentral describes it as "lncRNA (ENSPCLG00000015152.1)". Lineage: Eukaryota; Metazoa; Chordata; Aves; Galliformes; Phasianidae. The record is from RNAcentral.